RNAcentral lists this transfer RNA (69 nucleotides) under Dipodomys ordii (Ord's kangaroo rat). It matches the Rfam family "tRNA". Rfam says of the family: Transfer RNA (tRNA) molecules are approximately 80 nucleotides in length. Lineage: Eukaryota; Metazoa; Chordata; Mammalia; Rodentia; Heteromyidae. The record is from Rfam by way of RNAcentral.
GGGAAUGUGGCUCAGUGGUAGAGCGCUUGCCUUUCAUGCUGAGGCCCUGGGUUCGAUUCCUCAGCACCA